CAACUAAUCAAACUUUUUACAAAUUCUUUUACAGGAGAAUCAAGUUCAGGCCACUAUUUACAGUACUGAUAUAACAUAUUUUGAAAAAGAAUUUGCUCCUUUCAAGACUUACUUGGUAUCUGUUGCACAUGUGAAAGUACCACCUCUUGGAUAUGAAAAUUCACUUAACAAAUUCAUUUGGACACUCGAUAAAAACACCAUUGUUGAACCAGUUGAAGAGGUCAAACCUCCACAGGAUCCAUUACCACCACCAACACGACUAGCUCUUACCACAUUUGACACUUUUGAGUAUCAACCCAAAGAAUUUGAAUUUGAUGUGCUCGCCAUUGUCAUUAAUAGCAGUCCUUCAACAAAGACUACAACUGGAAAACGAAUUCAAGAGUUUAUUGUCAUGGACAAGCUG
Long non-coding RNA from Solanum tuberosum (potato), 403 nucleotides. RefSeq lists it as uncharacterized. Lineage: Eukaryota; Viridiplantae; Streptophyta; Magnoliopsida; Solanales; Solanaceae. The transcript has 2 exons. The record is from RefSeq and is a predicted model, not a curated record.